AGAAGAAGAAGAAGAAGAAGAAGAAGAGAUAAUAUUUCCACAGCUUCACGAGCUAUUUUCGCGAUUGGCGAAAGCAUCAGAUUUGAAAUGUAUCUAGGGAUGACACAGAGCAAGACAGUGAGCCAGAGCUGCCAGGAGAUGUCAUCGAGCCCCUCCCAACUGCAUCAAGCACCAGAUAUGCUGUUCCAAAAGGACCCAAUGACAUUUCAAGAUCCAGAGAAGAGGGUCCUGUACAGCUGUGUUUGAAAACAUUUCCCAGAACUCAGCAUGGUACUAGGAAAAGGGCUUUCUACAGCUCCUGGUAUAAGGACAAUUCAUGGCUUGAAUAUUCUGUAAGUCAGGAUUUGACUUAUUGUUUCACAUGUAGGCAUUUUUCUCUGCCCAAUGCACCUGAAUCUGCCUUCACAUCACAGUCAGGUUUUUGUAACUGGAAAAAGGUGCUGUUUAAAGAUUCUGGGUUUAAGCUCCAUUCGAAGGCAGAGCAUCAUAUCAAUGCUAUGUAUGCUUGGAAUCAGCAUAAAAGGGCUAUUGACAGCAACUCAUCAAUGUUAGAUGUCAGAAAUGAGGACCGGAAAAAGAAAGUGGAGGAAAACUGUACUGACAUUAAAACAAUUGCAGAUGUGCUCCUAUUAACUGCCACUCAAUAUAUAGCGCAGAGGUCAUCGAGAGUCUAAUGACUCUCACAACAAGGGUAAUUUUUUACAAUCUUAGAAGAAAUAGCAAAGCAUGACCCUCUCAUAGAGAAAAUUAUGAAUGUGGCAAUGCUAAGUACACAAGACACCAAAUCCAGAACAAAGUUAUUGAGGGCUUAGCUGAGAUGGUACAAAUGGAAAUAUUAAGAGAAGUAAAAGAAAGUGAAGUUUUUAGUGUAAUUGCAGAUGAAACCAAAUAUUUUAAAGAAAAAAUAACAAAUGUCUUAAGUUGUGAGGUACUAUUACAACGGGACCAUCCACGAAAGCUUUUUACACUUUCAGUCAGCUGAAAGAUAAGAUGCAGCAGGUCUCACAAAAAUGAUAAUUGAUUGCCUUGAAAAACAUGAUCUGGAAUACAGAAAUAAUCUUGUGGGGCAAGGCAAUGACGGUGCAUCCGUCAUGAGCGGAAACCAUUCUGGUGUCUGCACGAAUUAAAAACAGUGCAAGAUUAGUAUUUUUUUGUGCACUGUAAUGCACAUUGUUUGAAUUUGGUUCUUGUCGAUGCUGUAAAAUCAGUGCCUGAGGCAGUUUACUGUUUUGCUCUCCUGCAGAAGCUUUAUAACUUUGUAUCUGGCUCGUACGUUCAUCUCAAGUGACUUGUAGUUCAGAAAGAGCUGUAUCCACAGCAGCAGCCCAGGGAACUACAGAGACUUACAGAUGUAAGGUGGGCAUGCAGAUACAGUACAUGGCAUGGCCGUAAUCUGAGGGACAGUCUUUCAGCAGUUCUGAGAGUGCUACAGGAUAUCACACUUGAAAAUAGUGGUGAUAGAUCAGUGGAGGCAAGGGGCCUUCUUUCUCAAAUAGAUUUACAUUUACACUUUUGGCUUUUGGUUACCUUUUUGGUUACCAUUUACACUUUUGGUUACCUUUUGUAAAGUGCUUGGUGAUGCUAAAUGUCUUUCUGACAUGCUCCAAUCAAGCUCUCUUGACCUAGCAAGGGCUGUGGAUCUAGUAGGUGCCCUUACAGACACAUACAGGACUACAGAAGUGAGGGUUACUUUGUAGAACUAUGGAAAGAGGUUGAAGAGAUGGCAGAGCAUUGCAAAAAAAGUGUACAAACAGUGUGUAAAAGACAGCCUAAAACAAGCUUAAGAUUUCACGACUCAUUGAUGAGCACUGUAGGACAGAAAAAUAGUGACAAAAGUGAUGGUGAGAGCUUCCAAAGAUCGGUCUUUUAUCAGGUGCUUGACAGUCUCGCAGAGGCGUUUUUCAAAGAAGAAUUGUGAGAUAAUGCAAGGGGUCCAGUCUUUCAACCCAAAGAGUACAACAUUCUUGAAUGAGGAGCCUUUGAGUCAGAUUUAGAGGACCUCAAACAUGAGUGUCAUCAAACCAAGCGGCGUCUUGAUAGGAGAGAGAAAAGUGGAAGGGACAGACCGUCUACUCUCCUUGACUUUGUUGUGUUUCUAGAACCUUAUAAAGAGGUCUUCCAUGAGCUAUUUCUACUUUGUAAGAUUUCUGUUGUUACACCAGUCAGCAGUGCUUCUUGCGAGAGAAGCUUCUCAGCUUUAAAACUGAUUAAAUCCCACCUUAGUACAACAAUGGUUGAUGACAUGUAAAGUCACCUCAGAAUUCUCAGUGUUGAGUGAAGGAGGGCACGCUCCCUCAACAUGGAUGAGUUUGUGAAACAUUUUGCCAGUUCUCACCAGAACCUCAGAAUUAUGCUGUUUUAAAUCUAGCUAGGAUCAUUUGGAACUUAAGCGGUCCCUCUGGUCAUGGUUAACCUGCACUGUGUACUAGCUAGGACACUGACAUUCUAAAAUGAUAUAUCCAAAGGGUAUCAUGUCACACAGAUUUAAUUUGGUCUUGAUUAGGCCAAUUCCAAAACGUUUCUUUGCUAUUAGUUAACAUAAUAUAUAUGAGCAUAAAUAUGAUACUGUAAGUUUGUAAUAUUGAUGGGCACCAAAAAAAUUGAAAUAAUUUAUGCCUGGCAUGUCAAAUUGCAGUGUGUUUUUUUGUAAAUAAACAAUGCAAUUUAUGUAACACACAAAUGCUAUCUUAUCUCCUUGGUGCUUGAGCUUUAUUUUCUGAAAAUACUUUGGAUGUUGAACACUUAUAGACCCAG
Molecule: long non-coding RNA, 2754 nt
Organism: Salvelinus sp. IW2-2015
Lineage: Eukaryota; Metazoa; Chordata; Actinopteri; Salmoniformes; Salmonidae
Source: RefSeq, a predicted model, not a curated record